GCAUGUCCUGCUUCCUGUGCUGUUACACUGAUUCUAAACCCAGCAAAAUGGAGGAGAUACUCCAAACGGGUGGCUCUCCCAGAUGGGCUCAGCACCGUGUACACUGGGGGCAGGUCUGAACGCGAGCUCGACGGCAACUCUCUGCUGGGUCUGCCAAGGCUCCAGCUCCAAAGGGCUCCUCUGCGUCCUCCACCUUCUUUUUCAAGAGUAACAAAGACAUUUGAUUUCCUCCCACCCCUUUCUCUGGGCGCCCCUGCGCUCUCCCCCUCCCCCUCGCUGGCACUGGGGUUAUUUAUACAGAAUGUGGAAACAAUUUGCAGGAAAGCGAACAAUGUAACCCAGAGUGAGGGGAGGGAGAGAAGUUUAUUGUGCAGCACUCACAGCCCCAGAAGUGAAACGCUGCUUUUUUUUUUGGAGGGGGGGAGAAGAGGGAGUGGACUGUUUUCCUUUCCCUCUGCUCCUCUCUCUCGGUGCCCCACGGAACCGCUCCCCGUCUUGCCAGAGCUGGGUCCAAACCAGAGCAACCAGAUCCCACUGCGUGUUCUGGAGGAAGUUCAGGUUGGAUCCCUCCCUGCAUCCUCACAGCUCGCUGAGGCAGUGUCUGUGGACUAUAAUCCUCUCGGAGGUUUUGCUCUGGGAUCAUUUCUGCUCCUGGAUUAG
RNAcentral lists this long non-coding RNA (660 nucleotides) under Calidris pugnax (ruff). RNAcentral's name for it is "lncRNA (ENSCPUG00000017839.1)". Lineage: Eukaryota; Metazoa; Chordata; Aves; Charadriiformes; Scolopacidae. The record is from RNAcentral.